This 865-nucleotide ribosomal RNA is filed under the name uncultured Methanocella sp. RNAcentral describes it as "bacterial SSU rRNA". It matches the Rfam family "Archaeal small subunit ribosomal RNA", at positions 1 to 873 of the family's 1478-position model. The record is from RNAcentral. Lineage: Archaea; Methanobacteriati; Methanobacteriota; Methanomicrobia; Methanocellales; Methanocellaceae.
UUCCGGUUGAUCCUGCCAGAGGUCACUGCUAUCGGUGUCCGAUUAAGCCAUGCGAGUCGAGAGGUGUAAGACCUCGGCAGACUGCUCAGUAACACGUGGAUAACCUGCCCAAGGGUCCGGGAUAACCCCGGGAAACUGGGGAUAAUACCGGAUGGGUCACCAGUGCUGGAAUGCUUGGUGGUCGAAAGGUGACGCCUUUGGAUGGGUCCGCGGCGGAUUAGGUUGACGCCGGUGUAACGUACCGGCGUGCCUGUAAUCCGUACGGGUUGUGGGAGCAAGAGCCCGGAGAUGGAUUCUGAGACACGAAUCCAGGCCCUACGGGGCGCAGCAGGCGCGAAAACUCUACAAUGCAGGCAACUGCGAUAGGGGGACAUCGAGUGGCAUCCACCUUGGGUGUCUGUCCAACCGUCUAAAAAACGGUUGUUAGCAAGGGUCGGGCAAGACCGGUGCCAGCCGCCGCGGUAAUACCGGCGGCUCGAGUGGUGGCCGAUAUUAUUGAGUCUAAAGGGUCCGUAGCCGGCUUUGCAAGUCCCCUGGGAAAUCCGGCGGCUUAACCGUUGGGCUUUCAUGGGAUACUACAUUGCUUGGGACUGGGAGAGGUAGGAGGUACUCGGGGGGUAGGGGUGAAAUCCUGUAAUCCUCCGGGGACCACCGGUGGCGAAGGCGUCCUACCAGAACAGGUCCGACGGUGAGGGACGAAAGCUAGGGGCACGAACCGGAUUAGAUACCCGGGUAGUCCUAGCCGUAAACGAUGCCCGCUAGGUGUCACGACGGUCGUGAAUCGUCGUGGUGCCGUAGGGAAGCCGCGAAGCGGGCCACUUGGGAAGUACGGCCGCAAGGCUGAAACUUAAAGGAAUUGGCGGGA